GGCCGCGUGGCCUAAUGGACUAAGGCGUCUGACUUCGAAUCAGAAGAUUGCGAGUUCGAGGUCUCGUCGUGGUCG
Dreissena polymorpha is the source of this 75-nucleotide non-coding RNA. The record is from the annotation of a RefSeq genome assembly. Lineage: Eukaryota; Metazoa; Mollusca; Bivalvia; Myida; Dreissenidae.